RNAcentral lists this ribosomal RNA (227 nucleotides) under uncultured bacterium. RNAcentral describes it as "partial 16S ribosomal RNA". It matches the Rfam family "Bacterial small subunit ribosomal RNA", at positions 16 to 230 of the family's 1533-position model. The record is from RNAcentral.
GUCCUGGCUCAGGAUGAACGCUAGCUACAGGCUUAACACAUGCAAGUCGAGGGGCAGCAUGGUCUUAGCUUGCUUAAGGCCGAUGGCGACCGGCGCACGGGUGAGUAACACGUAUCCAACCUGCCGUCUACUCGUUGGACAGCCUUCUGAAAGGAAGAUUAAUACAAGAUGGCAUCAGUGAGUCCGCAUGUUCACAUGAUUAAACGGUAUUCCGGUAGACGAUGGGG